UAUUAGCAUGCCGGCUAUAUAGCCAUGAUGCCAAGCUAACCGUGCAGCUAAUACCACCAUCCAACACAAGGCUGUCACUGGUAUCCCAAGUGUGGGAAAAGUUACAAAUGUCAUUUCACUGACCACGUUAAAUAUAUUUUUGCGACCACAACCAACAUAGAUGGUGGAUUAUCUGCACUGAUCACAGACCAGUCAGGCAAUAUUAGGUUUAAACGGCUUCCAUUUCCAUAACAAUGCAACAUACACUAAUGACUCUAAGCCUGUAAUUUUUUUACAUUGCAGCUUUAAGUCUGUAAAAGCAUCUGUGCACCGAUAUCAAAUAGGAGGUCCUCUUGCCUCCAGGAUGCGUCGCUGCUCAGCGUUGAAGAGGUAGGGGAGUAAAUAUGUCAGUUUAUCGUUAACGUGAUUGCACACACGUCAUGCACCCACCUUUAUCUUCUUCUAGUGUGAGAUGGCUGGAGAUAAAAUGAAGGUUAUCGUAUCACAAAGUCCAGGUUCAUGUGAAGGAAAGCUGUUGUGUGUGUCUUUUGUCUCCCCCUCUCUCUACAGUUAGUAAGUGUAUGUGUUGCUGGCGCCACUGGCGCCAACGUUGGACCGCCGACGCACUUUAGCAAAGGCAGAGUGUUGUGUUUCCACGCGCGACUAUUGUCACUACCGCCCCCUGCCGCAUGGGAGCCGCACAAUACGGCACAAACAUGUUGCUUUGCUCACGUGCCUCGGAGUCUUUCAAGUUGAUGUCAAAAACAAGCAACCUGCUUCUUUGAUGUCACCGACCAGUCGCCGUCCCGUGACCAGAAGUGAGCUUUGACGACAAGCCAACAUAAUGUCGUGGGGACAGCAGCCUAAGCCGGGAAACGCACACUGCCCUCUCCCUGGCUACUUCGUACAGCUCCUCCCGGUGGAUCCCGAGGCAUCCUGACCACAUGACCGAGCCACCUCAUCUGACUCCUCUGAAUGCUUCUCACCUUUUCUCUAUGGGAGAGCGCAGCCGUUUUACAGGCGAUCUUGUCCUUUCGGUCUACCCAAAACUCAUGACCAUAGGUGAGUGUAGGAAUGUAGAUUGACGAUAAAUUGAGAGGUUUGUGUUUCGGAGAAGCCGGAGUACCCACGCACACAAGGGGAGAACAUGCAAAAUCACAGAGAUGUCAAACCCAGAUCUUCCAGACCUCCUCAGUGGCCAACAUGCUAACCACUAGGCCACAAUGCGGCCAUGCUCAAAGAUACUAACAGAAAUGUAAGUCAGGCGUGUCUGUGAUGACGUAUUAGAACAUUCAACAUUGGUGUGCUUCAAUCAUUAUCAUUGAAUGUAUACAUGAAUGGAAAUUGUUGAUCUUGUUACACAGAUUGCUUGUGUGUGUGGACGCACUACGACAUGUGAAUAGCAACACCCGUGACAGCCAUGAAUGUGUUAUUUUAUUCAGGCCGAACAAAAAUUUACAACAAUUUGUAAUGCAUUUUAACAAGUAAUGUGAUGUGAAGAAAUAUACAUUUUUUCAUACAAUCUGUUCUUUUAAACCACUAUUGAUAACAUGUUAGCUGGUGGUGGUGUUCAUGUUCUGGUUGAAAAAAAAAAAAAGUCUUCAGCCAGUUGCAGUCCCUUUCGGGGAAUUUUUUUGUGUCACUAUCACUGUGCAAAUAGAACAUUUUUGGGGGGAAAUAAUUUUUCCAGUAAUAUUGUGUUACUUUAAUUCCUACAAACUUUGAUGAAAAUUGCAGAACAUCCAUUCCAGAUCACUAUUCCAGACAUCAAAGCCACUCCGUAUUUGCUCUCAUUAUAAACCAUACAUUUUCCUGGCUUUUAAAAAGGCAGCGGUGCUCAAACUUUUUCCACCAACGGCCGCAUACUGAAAAAUCAAAGUAAGUUUUCUUGUUUAAUUUCAUUUUUAGAAUGUGCCAAGGGCCAAAAAAACAAAAAAAA
Molecule: long non-coding RNA, 1918 nt
Organism: Dunckerocampus dactyliophorus (ringed pipefish)
Lineage: Eukaryota; Metazoa; Chordata; Actinopteri; Syngnathiformes; Syngnathidae
Exons: 3
Source: RefSeq, a predicted model, not a curated record